UCCCUCUACACCUACCCAGGGAACGAGAGUCUGGGUUCCGUCUAACAGCCAGGAGGCUAUGCUUUCGCUGGGCGGCUAAAUCAGGUUUAGUGGGGACUAAUCCACCCUCACCCCACCACACCACCUUCACC
This is a long non-coding RNA of Eptesicus fuscus (big brown bat), 131 nucleotides long. RefSeq lists it as uncharacterized. The record is from RefSeq and is a predicted model, not a curated record. Lineage: Eukaryota; Metazoa; Chordata; Mammalia; Chiroptera; Vespertilionidae. The transcript has 3 exons.